CCUACGGGGGCAGCAGUGGGGAAUAUUGGACAAUGGGCGAAAGCCUGAUCCAGCCAUGCCGCGUGUGUGAAGAAGGCCUUCGGGUUGUAAAGCACUUUCAGUGGGGAAGAAAGCCUUGGGGCUAAUACCCUCGAGGAAGGACAUCACCCACAGAAGAAGCACCGGCUAACUCCGUGCCAGCAGCCGCGGUAAUACGGAGGGUGCGAGCGUUAAUCGGAAUUACUGGGCGUAAAGCGCGCGUAGGCGGUCUGAUAAGCCGGUUGUGAAAGCCCCGGGCUCAACCUGGGAACGGCAUCCGGAACUGUCAGGCUAGAGUGCAGGAGAGGAAGGUAGAAUUCCCGGUGUAGCGGUGAAAUGCGUAGAGAUCGGGAGGAAUACCAGUGGCGAAGGCGGCCUUCUGGACUGACACUGACGCUGAGGUGCGAAAGCGUGGGUACCAAACAGGAUUAGAUACCCCGGUAGUC
Molecule: ribosomal RNA, 464 nt
Filed under: Vreelandella stevensii
Lineage: Bacteria; Pseudomonadati; Pseudomonadota; Gammaproteobacteria; Oceanospirillales; Halomonadaceae
Description: partial 16S ribosomal RNA
Rfam family: Bacterial small subunit ribosomal RNA
Source: RNAcentral